AAACAUGGUUCUUUGAAUAGAUAGAGAAUCGUACCUGCCCAGUGAUUAAAAAUUUAACGGCCGCAGUACCCUGACUGUGCAAAGGUAGCGCAAUCCUUUGUCUUUUAAUUGGAGACAUGUAUGAAUGGUCUGACAAGAAUAUAGCUGUCUCUUUUUGAAUGAUUAGAAAUUAGUUUCUAGAUGAAGAAAUCUAGAUUAAAUUAAAAGACGAGAAGACCCUAUCGAGCUUAAAUUUAAUAUUUUAAGUAAAUACUGGAUUAUUUAAUAAAUAAUAUAAUAAAACUAUGAAAGUUUAGUUGGGGCAACUUAGGAAAAGAAAAAUCUUCCUUACAUAAAUGUAUAACAUGUGGGUUUUGAUCCAUUAUUUUAAUGAAUUAGGCCAAGUUACCGUAGGGAUAACAGCGUAAUUUUUCUUGAGAGUUCUUAUCGAAAGAAAAGUUUGCGACCUCGAUGUUGGACUAAAAUAUCCUAAAGAUGUAGCCGUUUUUAAGGGUUGGUCUGUUCGACCAUUAAAAUUUUACAUGAUCUGA
This 530-nucleotide ribosomal RNA is filed under the name Fictonoba carnosa. RNAcentral describes it as "partial 16S ribosomal RNA". It matches the Rfam family "Bacterial large subunit ribosomal RNA", at positions 1811 to 2608 of the family's 2925-position model. The record is from RNAcentral. Lineage: Eukaryota; Metazoa; Mollusca; Gastropoda; Littorinimorpha; Barleeiidae.